AGAGUUUGAUCCUGGCUCAGGAUGAACGCUAGCUACAGGCUUAACACAUGCAAGUCGAGGGGCAGCAUGGUCUUAGCUUGCUAAGGCCGAUGGCGACCGGCGCACGGGUGAGUAACGCGUAUCCAACCUGCCUUACACUCUUGGACAGCCUUCUGAAAGGGAGAUUAAUACAAGAUGUUAUCAUGAGUAAGCAUUUUCACAUGAUUAAAGGUUUACCGGUGUAAGAUGGGGAUGCGUUCCAUUAGAUAGUAGGCGGGGUAACGGCCCACCUAGUCUUCGAUGGAUAGGGGUUCUGAGAGGAAGGUCCCCCACAUUGGAACUGAGACACGGUCCAAACUCCUACGGGAGGCAGCAGUGAGGAAUAUUGGUCAAUGGACGAGAGUCUGAACCAGCCAAGUAGCGUGAAGGAUGAAGGUUCUAUGGAUUGUAAACUUCUUUUAUACGGGAAUAAACGAAUCCACGUGUGGAUUUUUGCAUGUACCGUAUGAAUAAGGAUCGGCUAACUCCGUGCCAGCAGCCGCGGUAAUACGGAGGAUCCGAGCGUUAUCCGGAUUUAUUGGGUUUAAAGGGAGCGUAGAUGGGUUGUUAAGUCAGUUGUGAAAGUUUGCGGCUCAACCGUAAAAUUGCAAUUGAUACUGGCAGUCUUGAGUACAGUUGAGGUAGGCGGAAUUCGUGGUGUAGCGGUGAAAUGCUUAGAUAUCACGAAGAACUCCGAUUGCGAAGGCAGCUUACUAACCUGUAACUGACAUUGAUGCUCGAAAGUGUGGGUAUCAAACAGGAUUAGAUACCCUGGUAGUCCACACGGUAAACGAUGAAUACUCGCUGUAGGCGAUAUACAGUCUGCGGCCAAGCGAAAGCAUUAAGUAUUCCACCUGGGGAGUACGCCGGCAACGGUGAAACUCAAAGGAAUUGACGGGGGCCCGCACAAGCGGAGGAACAUGUGGUUUAAUUCGAUGAUACGCGAGGAACCUUACCUGGGCUUAAAUUGCAACCGAAUAUGGCGGAAACGCUAUAGCUAGCAAUAGCGGUUGUGAAGGUGCUGCAUGGUUGUCGUCAGCUCGUGCCGUGAGGUGUCGGCUUAAGUGCCAUAACGAGCGCAACCCUUGCCGAUAGUUACUAACAGGUUAUGCUGAGGACUCUGUCGGGACUGCCAUCGUAAGAUGUGAGGAAGGUGGGGAUGACGUCAAAUCAGCACGGCCCUUACGUCCGGGGCUACACACGUGUUACAAUGGGGGGUACAGAGGGCUGCUACCACGCAAGUGGAUGCCAAUCCCAAAAACCUCUCUCAGUUCGGAUUGAAGUCUGCAACCCGACUUCAUGAAGCUGGAUUCGCUAGUAAUCGCGCAUCAGCCACGGCGCGGUGAAUACGUUCCCGGGCCUUGUACACACCGCCCGUCAAGCCAUGGGAGCCGGGGGUACCUGAAGUGCGUAACCGCAAGGAGCGCCCUAGGGUAAAACUGGUGACUGGGGCUAAGUCGUAACAAGGUAGCCG
This 1492-nucleotide ribosomal RNA is filed under the name uncultured bacterium. Its description in RNAcentral is "16S ribosomal RNA". It matches the Rfam family "Bacterial small subunit ribosomal RNA". The record is from RNAcentral.